This 652-nucleotide ribosomal RNA is filed under the name Thelephora ganbajun. RNAcentral's name for it is "eukaryotic LSU rRNA". The stretch from base 243 to 397 matches the Rfam family "5.8S ribosomal RNA". The record is from RNAcentral. Lineage: Eukaryota; Fungi; Basidiomycota; Agaricomycetes; Thelephorales; Thelephoraceae.
UUUCCGUAGGUGAACCUGCGGAAGGAUCAUUAUCGAAUCGUCGACAUGAGCUGUCGCUGGCCCCUCAAGUGGGGAGGCACGUGCACGCUCUGUUUACACAUCCACUCACAUCUGUGCACCCUCCGUGGUUCUAUGGUCUAGAGGAGAGACCCCCUGUCCCUCCUUCUGUAGUUCUACGUCACCACACCCACUCUGUAAUAAGGUUUUGUGGAACGUAUGUCGCGUUUAACGCAAUGCAAUACAACUUUCAGCAACGGAUCUCUUGGCUCUCGCAUCGAUGAAGAACGCAGCGAAAUGCGAUAAGUAAUGUGAAUUGCAGAAUUCAGUGAAUCAUCGAAUCUUUGAACGCACCUUGCGCCCCUCGGACAUACCGAGGGGCAUGCCUGUUUGAGUAUCAUGAACACCUCAACUCUCGCGGUUCACCGUGAUGAGCUUGGACUUUGGGGGUUUUGCUGGCCUCUGUGGGUCGGCUCCUCUCAAAUGAAUCAGCUUGCCAGUGUUUUUGGGCAUCGUGGGCGUGAUAACUAUCUACGCUCGUGGUCGUCUGCCAUGUAACCUUCGGUGAUGGAGGUUCGCUGGGGCUUACAAACGCCUCUCCUCGGCACUUUGAACGUUCGAUCUCAAAUCAGGUAGGACUACCCGCUGAACUUAA